This 253-nucleotide ribosomal RNA is filed under the name uncultured bacterium. RNAcentral describes it as "partial 16S ribosomal RNA". It matches the Rfam family "Archaeal small subunit ribosomal RNA", at positions 474 to 727 of the family's 1478-position model. The record is from RNAcentral.
UACCAGCACCCCGAGUGGUCGGGACGUUUAUUGGGCCUAAAGCAUCCGUAGCCGGUUCUACAAGUCUUCCGUUAAAUCCACCUGCUCAACAGAUGGGCUGCGGAAGAUACUAUGGAGCUAGGAGGCGGGAGAGGCGAGCGGUACUCGAUGGGUAGGGGUAAAAUCCAUUGAUCCAUUGAAGACCACCAGUGGCGAAGGCGGCUUGCCAGAACGCGCUCGACGGUGAGGGAUGAAAGCUGGGGGAGCAAAUGGG